GCGAGCGUUAUGAAACUUCUUCAUUGAUGUCAUGCAUUAUCCCGGCUGACUCCCAAACCAGGGUAAAGGGUAACCAAGCGCAAGCCAUCAAUACAAAAAGCAAAGAAACUAGCAACAAAGACAAAAGGCAAGAGUGCUGUGGGUGUCGACUUGCAUGCAUCAAAGGAUAUCAGCGGGAAAAUGGCCAAAUCCCGUCCGACGAAGCCUUCAGCCGCCCAGACGCUGACAAAGCGCAGGGCGAUUUGUUUGCCCCAUAAAUACAUUGCGAGAUAAGCUUGGCACCACCCCCCCGUCCAUUCCUAGAUCUUGUCCACCGCAUCAAAUCCAUACUUCUGAAUCUUUUAAAUAUUAAUAAUAACUCAGAAGUAGUACGGAUCAGACGGAUAUUAUUUACAAAAUCUAUUGUUGCAACUUCACUGGCCGUGGAGAAGUGAGGU
RNAcentral lists this unclassified non-coding RNA (437 nucleotides) under plant metagenome. RNAcentral describes it as "partial contains 5.8S ribosomal RNA, internal transcribed spacer 2, and large subunit ribosomal RNA". The record is from RNAcentral.